GACUCUGUGGUGAAAGUUUCAUGGUGAGUUGCAAGCUCAUUGAUGCACGUUAAAAGAGUGCCGGAGUCU
Molecule: transfer RNA, 69 nt
Filed under: Chalcophaps indica
Lineage: Eukaryota; Metazoa; Chordata; Aves; Columbiformes; Columbidae
Description: tRNA-Cys
Source: RNAcentral